Molecule: ribosomal RNA, 415 nt
Filed under: Flexibacteraceae bacterium Ellin7250
Lineage: Bacteria; Pseudomonadati; Bacteroidota; Cytophagia; Cytophagales; Cytophagaceae
Description: bacterial SSU rRNA
Rfam family: Bacterial small subunit ribosomal RNA
Source: RNAcentral
GAUGAACGCUAGCGGCAGGCCUAAUACAUGCAAGUCGAGGGGCAGCACAGGUAGCAAUACUGGGUGGCGACCGGCAAACGGGUGCGGAACACGUACGCAACCUUCCUUCAAGCGGGGAAUAGCCCAGAGAAAUUUGGAUUAAUACCCCAUAAGAAUGUGGACUGGCAUCAGUCAGCAUUUAAAGAUUUAUCACUUGAAGAUGGGCGUGCGUCUGAUUAGGUAGUUGGUGAGGUAACGGCUCACCAAGCCGACGAUCAGUAACUGGCGUGAGAGCGCGACCAGUCACACGGGCACUGAGACACGGGCCCGACUCCUACGGGAGGCAGCAGUAAGGAAUAUUGGUCAAUGGACGGAAGUCUGAACCAGCCAUGCCGCGUGGAGGAUGAAGGCCCUCUGGGUUGUAAACUUCUUUUAU